ACGAAGCCCGGGCGGUGAAUAGCCGACUCGGGUGACGGUACCUCCAGAAGAAGCCCCGGCUAACUACGUGCCAGCAGCCGCGGUAAUACGUAGGGGGCAAGCGUUGUCCGGAAUCAUUGGGCGUAAAGCGCGUGUAGGCGGUCCGGUAAGUCGGCUGUGAAAGUCCAGGGCUCAACCCUGGGAUGCCGGUCGAUACUGCCGGACUAGAGUUCGGAAGAGGCGAGUGGAAUUCCCGGUGUAGCGGUGAAAUGCGCAGAUAUCGGGAGGAACACCAAUGGCGAAGGCAGCUCGCUGGGACGUUACUGACGCUGAGACGCGAAAGCGUGGGGAGCAAACAGGAUUAGAUACCCUGGUAGUCCACGCCGUAAACGAUGGGCACUAGGUGUGGGAGGUGUCGACUCCUCCCGUGCCGGAGCUAACGCAUUAAGUGCCCCGCCUGGGGAGUACGGCCGCAAGGCUAAAACUCAAAGGAAUUGACGGGGACCCGCACAAGCAGCGGAGCAUGUGGUUUAAUUCGACGCAACGCGAAGAACCUUACCUGGGUUUGACAUGUUCCUGACCGCCCUGGAAACAGGGCUUCCCUUCGGGGCAGGAUCACAGGUGGUGCAUGGCUGUCGUCA
Molecule: ribosomal RNA, 620 nt
Filed under: uncultured bacterium
Lineage: Bacteria
Description: bacterial SSU rRNA
Rfam family: Bacterial small subunit ribosomal RNA
Source: RNAcentral